RNAcentral lists this ribosomal RNA (253 nucleotides) under uncultured bacterium. Its description in RNAcentral is "partial 16S ribosomal RNA". It matches the Rfam family "Bacterial small subunit ribosomal RNA", at positions 524 to 776 of the family's 1533-position model. The record is from RNAcentral.
UACGUAGGAGGCAAGCGUUGUCCGGAAUUACUGGGCGUAAAGCGCGUGUAGGCGGUCUGAAUAGUCUGCUGUGAAAGCGCCUGGCUUAACCGGGCGAGGUCGGCGGAAACUCUCAGACUGGAGGCCGGUAGAGGGGGGUGGAAUUCCCGGUGUAGUGGUGAAAUGCGUAGAUAUUCGCAGGAACACCAGUGGCGAAGGCGGCUUACUGGUCCAUAACUGACGCUGAGGUGCGAAAGCGUGGGGAGCAAACAGG